AACGCACGAGACCUGCGGACCUGCGGAAGGAUCAUUACUGAGUGAGGGCCCUCUGGGUCCAACCUCCCACCCGUGUUUAUUGUACCUUGUUGCUUCGGCAGGCCCGCCUCACGGCCGCCGGGGGGCUUUCCGCCCCCGGGCCCGCGCCUGCCGGAGACAAUCUUGAACGCUGUCUGAAGAAUGCAGUCUGAGCGAUUAAGCAAAAUUAGUUAAAACUUUUAACAAUGGAUCUCUAGAUCG
This 240-nucleotide unclassified non-coding RNA is filed under the name soil metagenome. RNAcentral's name for it is "partial contains 5.8S ribosomal RNA, internal transcribed spacer 2, and large subunit ribosomal RNA". The record is from RNAcentral.